UACGGAGGGUGCUAGCGUUGUUCGGAAUUACUGGGCGUAAAGCGCACGUAGGCGGCUUUGUAAGUUAGAGGUGAAAGCCCGGAGCUCAACUCCGGAACUGCCUUUAAGACUGCAUCGCUUGAACGUCGGAGAGGUAAGUGGAAUUCCGAGUGUAGAGGUGAAAUUCGUAGAUAUUCGGAAGAACACCAGUGGCGAAGGCGACUUACUGGACGACUGUUGACGCUGAGGUGCGAAAGCGUGGGGAGCAAACAGG
Molecule: ribosomal RNA, 253 nt
Filed under: uncultured bacterium
Lineage: Bacteria
Description: partial 16S ribosomal RNA
Rfam family: Bacterial small subunit ribosomal RNA
Source: RNAcentral